Molecule: transfer RNA, 69 nt
Filed under: Ictidomys tridecemlineatus (thirteen-lined ground squirrel)
Lineage: Eukaryota; Metazoa; Chordata; Mammalia; Rodentia; Sciuridae
Description: Spermophilus tridecemlineatus (thirteen-lined ground squirrel) tRNA
Rfam family: tRNA
About the family: Transfer RNA (tRNA) molecules are approximately 80 nucleotides in length. Their secondary structure includes four short double-helical elements and three loops (D, anti-codon, and T loops).
Source: Rfam by way of RNAcentral
GGGAUUGUUGCUCAGUGGCAGAGCACUUGCCUCACAAGUAUGAGGCACUGAGUUCCGUCCUCAGCACCA